RNAcentral lists this long non-coding RNA (2381 nucleotides) under Malus domestica (apple). RNAcentral describes it as "long non-coding RNA (MDOM_LNC006048)". The record is from RNAcentral. Lineage: Eukaryota; Viridiplantae; Streptophyta; Magnoliopsida; Rosales; Rosaceae.
AUUCGGCUUUUCUUUGUCAAGUUUUGGAUAGCGUUUGCAAAUAUAUUGGUAAACAAAUAUAUAACAAAUAUAAAUUGAUUGAUUUUAAGCCAUUUGAUUCGGGUCUUUAAAUCAAAUAGCACCACCCACUAUUUUUGGCAAAUUCCAUAUCCCUCAUUGGAAUUCGAGAGUUUUGGAGGAAACUCUUAGUAAGGUAUGGGAGACUCAUCAUUACCAAGCCCACCUCACAAUGAUAUGAUGUUGUCUAGCAUUAAUAAUAAUGAGAGAGUACACUUACUCAUUUGCAUCUCUUGCAAGUACCCAUCUUAUUUGGCCUCUAGAGAAUAAAGCCUCACAAUGAUAUGAUGUUGGCUCCAUUGCACUUAGUUAAGUCAUUCCCACCAUGCAAGUUCGGGUAAGGGUUCAAGAACAACCUCACAAUGAUAUGAUGUUGAUCAUUCUCGUUGCCUACCUUCACAACAUCAUGUAUGCAUAUAGGAUUCAUCCUGAGUGUAAGCACGCACUUUGUACUCCCCCAUGAUAGGGUGAAGCCGGUGUACGAGUAACAAAUGAUCGGAGCCUACCACGGUGGAAGGCCACGAAAGAGUGUCCAAAGCACUCUCACGCUUAUCAACUUAUAAUGGUUUGGUGGAGGGUUUUAGGUCUCAUCAUAUAUAAAUAUACAUUUUAAUCUUAAAACAAUUUGGUCCUAUUACAACUAUUGGUCCAUGUGAUUGAUUUAGUUGUACAUGAUACUCCUACUAUGCUUGUAAAACAGUUUUUAAAGCAAGAGUAUAUGGUACUACUAACAUAAGGUUUGCAUUCAUUGAUGUACUAUAUAGUUGCCUUAGGGCCUUAGGAUGACUAUGAACCUUUGAUUAGAUCCAACACGAGCCUAGUGUUGAAUCUCGGUCUAGGGAUGGUGAUUGAUUUUAGUUACGCGUUUAAUCAUAUUAAGGCGUGUUGUCUUAUUGGGCGCUGGACCCGCUACUCCAUUUUCAUGCAUAUCAAAUAAAACAAGAAAUGAGUACUUCAAAGUAAAGAUGAGCUUAUGCUCUUUACAACAUUUGAUUAAUACAAAUUACUUUAAAGUAAAGAAGAGCUUAUGCUCUUUUACAACAUUUGAUCAAAUCAAAUUACAACCAAAAUCUAAUCUACACAUUCCCAUGGUUCAAACAAAUUUGAAACGGCCUUUCACAUAGCUCAAUUAUCGUAGGCUUAGGUUCAUAAUCACCCUUUAAUUAAUUAACGCUUUAACUAAUUAAACUUUGAAUGCAACAUUGUCAUUUGGUUUUUGUAUCCAUAAAAUUGAUUUAAAUGGAGCUAAAUGAAAUGAAAAUCCAAUUCUCAUUUAAAGAGACAAAACAAUUUUGUUCUCAACCUAAUUUGGGCCAAAAUGCAAUUACCACAACUUUUUGGGCUAUAUUGCAAAAACAUAAACUUUUGGGGUCACUUUGUAAAAACACAAAACUCCACUACUUCAUGUAAUUACAACUAGAACCCAAAAAUUUCAACAAAUACAAAAACUUCAUUAAAGGAGAAACAAUUUGUCCUUUAGCGUUUUUGGACCUAAACGUAAAAACGUAAACUUUUGGGCCAAAGUGCAAAUACACAAAAGUAUCAAAACUUUAUGUAAUUGCAUAAAAGCCCCAAAAGUACCCUAUUUUAAUAGGGUGGCCGGUUUUAGAGAGAAGGGAGUGAUGUGUGUGUUGAUUUGUAGUUUUAGACAUAAAGUCAUACAAGUGGUGCAUGACAUAAAUGUCAUGCAAGUGGUGUGUGAAAAGGAAUUAAUCCUUACACACCCACCAAUAUUUCUUUCACCUUUCAAAAUAAAUAUCUAAUACAUUUAAACAUUUGAAAAGCACAAAACAAAAACUUUAUGAAAUAAAUCAAAACUUUGAAUCAAAAAACACCAAACUUUUUGUUCUUGGUUAAAAUAUCAAGAACAAUGAAGAACAUUCAUGAAAAACUCAAAAAAUCUCCAUGAACAUUUUUCACCCAAAGACAUCCCAAAACCACUCAAACUUAAGGGAAAUAACAUAUAACCAAACUAGGGUACAUAGGGGUUCCAAAAGUUACUUGAAAACACUUUUAACAAGUCAAACAUGAACCCAAAAAUCCACCCUUUGGAUUUGGCCGAAUUCUCCCAAAAACAUGGCACCAAAUUUUAGCUCCAAUAUUCAUGCUCAUAUGAACUACAUCUACAACAUUUGAGAUGGCAAAUUUUCUAACAAAAUUUACAUUCAAAAAAGCAAGAAUAAAGCUUGUAACAUAUUACAACAUUUAAAUCAAAGACUAUGAACUACAAAACCCAAAAGGAUUCACCAACUACUAGACCUAGGCUCUGAUACCACUUUAAGGAAAUUUUGUGAAAAACAUGUUCAUUUAAGCAACAUCUAUAG